RNAcentral lists this ribosomal RNA (52 nucleotides) under Ficus tsiangii. RNAcentral's name for it is "partial 18S ribosomal RNA". The record is from RNAcentral. Lineage: Eukaryota; Viridiplantae; Streptophyta; Magnoliopsida; Rosales; Moraceae.
ACCUGCGGAAGGAUCAUUGUCGAAACCUGCCCAAGCAGAGAGACCAGCGAAC